GAACCAUGAAAAUGAGGUCAAGGUCAGAUGACAUCUGCCCGCUAGACAUGUACACCUUACAAUCAUUCCAUACAACAAAUAUAGUAGACUUAUUGCACAAAGUAUGGGAAAAAUAGACCAAAACACAAAAACUUAACUAUAACCACUGAACCAUGAAAAUGAGGUCAAGGUCAGAUGACACCUGCCAGUUGGACAUGUACACCUAACAGUCCUUCCAUACACCGAAUAUACUAGCCCUAUUGCUUAUAGUAUCUGAGAUAUGGACUUGACCACCAAAACUUAACCUUGUUCACUGAUCCAUGAAAUGAGGUCGAGGUCAAGUG
RNAcentral lists this long non-coding RNA (323 nucleotides) under Mytilus galloprovincialis (Mediterranean mussel). Lineage: Eukaryota; Metazoa; Mollusca; Bivalvia; Mytilida; Mytilidae. The record is from RNAcentral.